UUUGAUCCUGGCUCAGAUUGAACGCUGGCGGCAUGCCUUACACAUGCAGGUCGAACGGUAACGCGGGGGCAACCCUGGCGACGAGUGGCGAACGGGUGAGUAAUACAUCGGAACAUAUCCAGUAGCGGGGGAUAACCUAUCGAAAGAUGGACUAAUACCGCAUACGAUCUACGGAUGAAAGCAGGGGACCGCAAGGCCUUGCACUAUUGGAGUGGCCGAUGUCGGAUUAGCUAGUUGGUGAGGUAAAGGCUUACCAAGGCGACGAUCCGUAGCUGGUCUGAGAGGACGAUCAGCCACACUGGAACUGAGACACGGUCCAGACUCCUACGGGAGGCAGCAGUGGGGAAUUUUGGACAAUGGGCGCAAGCCUGAUCCAGCCAUGCCGCGUGAGUGAAGAAGGCCUUCGGGUUGUAAAGCUCUUUCGGUGAAGACGAAACGGUUAGCGCUAAUAACGCUGACUAAUGACGGUACUCACAGAAGAAGCACCGGCUAACUACGUGCCAGCAGCCGCGGUAAUACGUAGGGUGCAGGCGUUAAUCGGAAUUACUGGGCGUAAAGCGUGCGCAGGCGGUUUGCUAAGACAGGUGUGAAAUCCCCGAGCUUAACUUGGGAAUUGCGCUUGUAACUGGCAAGCUAGAGUGUGGCAGAGGGGGGUGGAAUUCCACGUGUAGCAGUGAAAUGCGUAGAUAUGUGGAGGAACACCGAUGGCGAAGGCAGCCCCCUGGGUUAACACUGACGCUCAUGCACGAAAGCGUGGGGGAGCAAACAGGAUUAGAUACCCUGGUAGUCCACGCCCUAAACUAUGUCAACUAGUUGUCGGGGAAGAGAUUCCUUGGUAACGAAGCUAACGCGUGAAGUUGACCGCCUGGGGGAGUACGGCCGCAAGGUUAAAACUCAAAGGAAUUGACGGGACCCGCACAAGCGGUGGAUUAUGUGGAUUAUUCGAUGCAACGCGAA
This 957-nucleotide ribosomal RNA is filed under the name uncultured bacterium. Its description in RNAcentral is "bacterial SSU rRNA". It matches the Rfam family "Bacterial small subunit ribosomal RNA", at positions 12 to 965 of the family's 1533-position model. The record is from RNAcentral.